This 468-nucleotide ribosomal RNA is filed under the name uncultured bacterium. RNAcentral describes it as "partial 16S ribosomal RNA". It matches the Rfam family "Bacterial small subunit ribosomal RNA", at positions 28 to 507 of the family's 1533-position model. The record is from RNAcentral.
GACGAACGCUGGCGGCGUGCUUAACACAUGCAAGUCGAACGGAAAGGCCCUGCUUUUGUGGGGUGCUCGAGUGGCGAACGGGUGAGUAACACGUGAGUAACCUGCCCUUGACUUUGGGAUAACUUCAGGAAACUGGGGCUAAUACAGGAUAGGAGCUCCUGCUGCAUGGUGGGGGUUGGAAAGUUUCGGCGGUUGGGGAUGGACUCGCGGCUUAUCCGCUUGUUGGUGGGGUAGUGGCUUACCAAGGCUUUGACGGGUAGCCGGCCUGAGAGGGUGACCGGCCACAUUGGGACUGAGAGACGGCCCAGACGCGUACGGGAGGCAGCAGUGGGGAAUAUUGCACAAUGGGCGGGAGCCUGAUGCGACAACGCCGCGUGCGGGAUGACGGCCUUCGGGUUGUAAACCGCUUUCGCCUGUGACGAAGCGUGAGUGACGGUAAUGGGUAAAGAAGCACCGGCUAACUACGUG